UUUCUUAUACUAAACCCUAUUUUAAAAGUAUAAUCAUUGUAAAACAUUUUAGCAUUCUCUAUACAAGUGAACUCUAAACCAACACAUAACUCAUCAACAAGGUAUUUGCUCAUAUUCGAUAUUUCAUCGUUAUUAACCAUUUCUUCGACUUCCUCAUUCAUCUCAUCUCUAACAUCAAGAAAACACAUUGAAACUGAGGAAUCAAUUAUAGAGCUAUGUUCCAUCAUUUAACCGACUCCUAUAAAAAUAACUAAAGUUAAUAUUCUCAACAAAGCACAAACAAUAGAAAAAUAUGUGAAAGCGAUCUACAACAAAUAAAUCUAAUAAGGAUGCAUUCAAUGACGAAAAAAAAUU
RNAcentral lists this long non-coding RNA (354 nucleotides) under Ananas comosus (pineapple). RNAcentral's name for it is "long non-coding RNA (ACOM_LNC001086)". The record is from RNAcentral. Lineage: Eukaryota; Viridiplantae; Streptophyta; Magnoliopsida; Poales; Bromeliaceae.